RNA transcript from Bombyx mori (domestic silkworm), 1525 nucleotides. RefSeq lists it as uncharacterized. The record is from RefSeq and is a predicted model, not a curated record. The transcript has 7 exons. NCBI's taxonomy places the organism in Eukaryota, Metazoa, Arthropoda, Insecta, Lepidoptera, Bombycidae.
AGUAGCGAAAUUGCAAAUGAUAUUAAAAAAAAACGCGUUUUUCAACUGUACCAUCUGCAAGAUAAUCUCUAGUGAAAAUUAAACAAACUCGUUACGGCGCCGACCACUUUCCCGCCGAGCACGUUCCGAUUAUAUGAACCACCUGUCCCUCCCAGAUCGCAGUGUUAGACUACCUUUUGCAUUAAACAGGAUUAUAGUAGUAGCUGCCACGGCGAGUGUAACAGCGAAACGCCAUUUUUGAAUUUAAUCAGUGCCGAAUGUAAUGUACAGGUUGAUUAUUCUACUCGUUUUGUUGGUCGGAGUGUUGUACUCCUUACACUUACUGGUCCAGGAUUACCAGGCCUUGACUGCUGCUCCGAAGCUGCUCCGGUUUUUAUUUAAACGCGACCUUCGAUCGUCGCAGCACUUGUGCAAGCGCUAAAUUCAAAUUAAAAGAAAUACAUUGUCUUUAAGUAUAAAGAUGCUGUUUGUGAUAUCAAACGAAAGUCAAAAACUACCUGCCUACCUACCUGCCUACGGAGAUUUUAUAAAGGCUGAAAUUUAAAAGAUCAUUCACAUCACGAUUCUAAGGAAUUCGGAGAAUCUCACUUUAUAAAAACGAGAUUACUAACCAAGUUUGUUCCAGGGUACAACUAUUAUCGAACGAUUAAAAAUGAAGUACGUGAUUGAUUUGUGACAUAGACAGAAUAAAUAUCUCCACUGGUACGAGCUUUCAAAACACCGAAUACUGAGGCCCUUGCUUAUCAUGCUCAUGAAUAUGCUAUUUAAGUUGUACGGGGCAGUGUAAGAUGGCGCAGAAUACUACAGCACGAUCCUAUUCAAUGCGCUCGCUACCUUUAUUGCGAUCUUGGGGCGCGACCGCCGAACAAUAGCGUCGGGCGAGGCUUCGUGUACAUGCUCACGCUCAAACCACAUGAUGAAGACUUACAGUCACUAGAGUAUUUUCAAAUGGCCUAUCACCGCGGUCAAUUGGGAGGUAUAUUUGGCUGCAAGGAAUACUAUCCUAUGUGUCCCUUCGAUGCACAAUUAUUAUUCAGACUGAUACAAUAUCUGAUCGAUAAACAAUAAUCCUAAUCCUAGAAAUCGUGUUGAUAUUAAUGGUCGGUUGGUAUGAAGGGUUUGUGUCUUACGUGAAUGCUAAGUGAAAUUCUGUGAAGCGUCAAAAGCUGAACACAUUUUUGAAGUCCUUGAAGCAUUUUUGAGGGCAACAUAUCAGCCUUCAGAUUUGUUUGUUUGCCUUACCGAUGUAACAAUAAUAUGUAUGCUGUAAAAAAUAUUUUAUAUAAAACUUUGGCGCAGGUGCAUACUUUUCGAGAUUUGAAUUUUUUAUGAAAUCUUUUAAAAGCAUAAUAUUAAUAUGUGUUAUUUGUAUGUGUAUUAUUUAGUAUUCUAUAUCAUAUGAUAAAUCUUGGUUUUCCUUUUUAUUGACAUGAUGGCCAAAGAUAUUUUUGAUAACCAUUGUUUAACUAUUUAGAACGUCAAGUGAAUGUGAAAUUAUGUUUCAAUAAAUGCAAAAUAAUUACUA